This 332-nucleotide ribosomal RNA is filed under the name Salmonella enterica subsp. enterica serovar Kentucky. RNAcentral describes it as "bacterial SSU rRNA". It matches the Rfam family "Bacterial small subunit ribosomal RNA", at positions 108 to 443 of the family's 1533-position model. The record is from RNAcentral. Lineage: Bacteria; Pseudomonadati; Pseudomonadota; Gammaproteobacteria; Enterobacterales; Enterobacteriaceae.
GAGUAAUGUCUGGGAAACUGCCUGAUGGAGGGGGAUAACUACUGGAAACGGUGGCUAAUACCGCAUAACGUCGCAAGACCAAAGAGGGGGACCUUCGGGCCUCUUGCCAUCAGAUGUGCCCAGAUGGGAUUAGCUUGUUGGUGAGGUAACGGCUCACCAAGGCGACGAUCCCUAGCUGGUCUGAGAGGAUGACCAGCCACACUGGAACUGAGACACGGUCCAGACUCCUACGGGAGGCAGCAGUGGGGAAUAUUGCACAAUGGGCGCAAGCCUGAUGCAGCCAUGCCGCGUGUAUGAAGAAGGCCUUCGGGUUGUAAAGUACUUUCAGCGGG